Molecule: transfer RNA, 71 nt
Filed under: Dipodomys ordii (Ord's kangaroo rat)
Lineage: Eukaryota; Metazoa; Chordata; Mammalia; Rodentia; Heteromyidae
Rfam family: tRNA
About the family: Transfer RNA (tRNA) molecules are approximately 80 nucleotides in length. Their secondary structure includes four short double-helical elements and three loops (D, anti-codon, and T loops). Further hydrogen bonds mediate the characteristic L-shaped molecular structure. tRNAs have two regions of fundamental functional importance: the anti-codon, which is responsible for specific mRNA codon recognition, and the 3' end, to which the tRNAs corresponding amino acid is attached (by aminoacyl-tRNA synthetases). tRNAs cope with the degeneracy of the genetic code in two manners: having more than one tRNA (with a specific anti-codon) for a particular amino acid; and 'wobble' base-pairing, i.e. permitting non-standard base-pairing at the 3rd anti-codon position.
Source: Rfam by way of RNAcentral
GGGAAUGUGGCUUAGUGGUAGAGUGCUUGCCUAGCAUGCAUGAAGCCCCGGGGUUUGAUUCCCCAGUACCA